GGGGACGACAGGCUUCGACGUGGUCGGUUCCGUAUUGGUGGUAGCGAGCCGAGGUUCCGGGUGGCCUCGUAAAACCCCGGGAAAAACACACAUGCGGACUCUCACGAGUACGCCCUCGCUGCCUAGAUCCAAUCUAGGUGAGUGAGGACUCAGCCCUCGCCUGCCGGCCGUGAGGGACCUGGGUUCAGAUGCCGGCUCCACCUGGGGAGGAACGCCUUCGCCGAACCGGGGAAAUCAUCAGACGGGCUGGCCGGACGCAACCCCGCCCGCAAGGCGAGCGAUCGGCGAGAUCAGAGUGCGGGCUACGCUCGUAGAAGCUCCCAGUACGCGGCUGCGGACGUGGGUUCAAUUCCCACCGUCUCCACCA
This 367-nucleotide transfer-messenger RNA is filed under the name Solirubrobacteraceae. RNAcentral's name for it is "Paraconexibacter sp024220175 Standard tmRNA". It matches the Rfam family "transfer-messenger RNA". From Rfam's summary of the family: Bacterial tmRNA, also known as 10Sa RNA or SsrA, is named for its dual tRNA and mRNA-like properties. Its role is to liberate the mRNA from a stalled ribosome. Lineage: Bacteria; Bacillati; Actinomycetota; Thermoleophilia; Solirubrobacterales. RNAcentral also lists the same sequence under 1 other name. The record is from RNAcentral.